UGUUGAGGAAGAUAAUGACGGUACUCAACAAGGAAGUGACGGCUAACUACGUGCCAGCAGCCGCGGUAAAACGUAGGUCACAAGCGUUGUCCGGAAUUACUGGGUGUAAAGGGAGCGCAGGCGGGAGAACAAGUUGGAAGUGAAAUCCAUGGGCUCAACCCAUGAACUGCUUUCAAAACUGUUUUUCUUGAGUAGUGCAGAGGUAGGCGGAAUUCCCGGUGUAGCGGUGGAAUGCGUAGAUAUCGGGAGGAACACCAGUGGCGAAGGCGGCCUACUGGGCACCAACUGACGCUGAGGCUCGAAAGUGUGGGUAGCAAACAGGAUUAGAUACCCUGGUAGUCCACACCGUAAACGAUGAUUACUAGGUGUUGGAGGAUUGACCCCUUCAGUGCCGCAGUUAACACAAUAAGUAAUCCACCUGGGGAGUACGACCGCAAGGUUGAAACUCAAAGGAAUUGACGGGGGCCCGCACAAGCAGUGGAGUAUGUGGUUUAAUUCGACGCAACGCGAAGAACCUUACCAAGUCUUGACAUCCCUUGACGAUGCUGGAAACAGUAUUUCUCUUCGGAGCAAGGAGACAGGUGGUGCAUGGUUGUCGUCAGCUCGUGUCGUGAGAUGUUGGGUUAAGUCCCGCAACGAGCGCAACCCUUAUGGUCAGUUACUACGCAAGAGGA
Molecule: ribosomal RNA, 674 nt
Filed under: Faecalibacterium prausnitzii
Lineage: Bacteria; Bacillati; Bacillota; Clostridia; Eubacteriales; Oscillospiraceae
Description: bacterial SSU rRNA
Rfam family: Bacterial small subunit ribosomal RNA
Source: RNAcentral